UUAUUUCAAAUCACAUCUGAAAAAAAAUCAUCAAUAUGAUUUAUACAACGUGCGGUAAGGGUAGUCGCAACAUCUAAAUAACGUCACAUGAAAGACUUCCCCUUCGUUUCAUUAGAAAAAUAUUUCAGACUGACGAACAUAUUCACAUAUCUCACUUUCUUUAAGAAAUCUUGGCACCCACAGUGACAUUUUUCAUAAUUUAGUAUUCAAAAUUCUUUGCACAGUACCAUAGGAUAAAAGUAAAAGUUUUGGUCUUUCUGUCCUUCUUUGGUAAUUCAAUCUCCCAUAACCCGCCAAAUAUAGCUGAAACCAUCUAUAAAUUAAUCUCUUAUUUGCAUUCGUUUUUGUUCUGCAAACGCUACUGUCUCUCCUGGCGAUUUUCCAUUUUGACAACUCCUUGUGGCUUUUUAAAAAAAAAAUUAUUUCGACGUUUCCUUUGAUUAAUGCAUCAGCGUAAACCAACAAUGUUUAUGAUCAUAAAUAGCAACGAUGUCAUUUUAUUUUCAACGGAAGUCGUAACAUGUCGUAAAAUUUGUCGUUUUCUUAAUAUUGGGCCAUUAAACGCAUUUAAUUAGAUCCUUUUUAAUGUUUUUGUCUUUUUUAUUCUAAAAAUAUACACUUUAAAACCCGAUUUUAAUUUCUUUCACUUCUAGGAUAUUUUUAUACGAAGGAUGAUCAAAAAGUUCGCGAACUAUCUCUAUUUACAAAACUAAAAUUCAGAUCAGAAUAAAAUUUACACACGUGAAGUCAUACACAUAUUCUUUAAAUAACAUAUAUAAUUUAAUGUUUUUGCGUCAUGUUUUUGACGCCAAUAUGUGAAAAUGACGUCAAAAAUGGUUGAUCAAGUCUUACUAGAGCAAAAAAUAUAAUUAAAAUUACACUGACAUCUAACAACAUCACAUAAAGGGUCACCUCAGAGGUCAAAUUCUAUCAACCAAUCAAAUCGUUGCUUGUAAAAUGAUCGUAUGUUUGUGGAAAGAAUUUGUAAGUCUAGAGUUAUUGCGAAUUUGACCUCUAACGUGACCCUUUAUGGAAAGUUGUUAGAUGUAAGUGUUAACGUCUAACAUCUAAUUUUAAUUAUAUUGUCGAGCAACGAAUGGCUUUAAAGUUAAAUGUCAAGUAAAAGAUUAAAGUUAACCUCUCGUCUUGCCUUUUCUUCCGUGUGUUCACAAUUGAAUCCGUCAGAAUAGCCUAGCAGCUGCCAUCGUCUUAUUUAUAUAAACAUGGCUUAUUCUACCCACUAUAGGGGUGAUCCGCCUAUUGGAAGAGUCUAUUUUCCUAUAUCCCCUCCGGUUCCAAGAUAGUAGGCAUAGCCACAAUCGCUACAAUAGCGUUUAUUUCAAACUUUAAACAUAGCAUAUAUGGUUAAAAGAAGGCACUAAUACGUUAUCCACAUUGAAUAAACGACGCUCCCUAGACAAAUGACUCGGGUUAUGAUGGUCACCGUACUCAUUCUGGAAAAAGACAUCCUUAUCCACCGAUACUUUUGCCGAGGUUUGGCCAUUUCUGACAAAAACACUAAAUGACUUGCAUAGAAAGAGAAAAGAGUCGGGAAAAUCUUUUAGAGUCUGUGACAGAACGCUACGGAGCAUGUCACGUGACCGCCUCCAACACGUGAUUCGCGCAUGAGCAGAACGGUUGAAGAUGCGCCUAAAAAUCGGAUGACUAUUUUUAAAAAAUUUAAACAUUGAAACCCUGUACUAUCAUUUCUUUUAUGGAAGUUAUUCAAUUGGUUCGCGAAUUUUUUGAUCACCCCUCUUAUAUUGAAAGGUAAGGUACUUCAUAAAUGUGAAUAUUAUAUAAACUAUCAUUUACAUUAAUAAAAUAGUGAAAUGAAUAUGAGACAAAUUCUUUUUUAUAUAUUAUAGUUUAGGAAGCAUAGGAAAGGAUAGUGAAGAAAGUUAAUGCUGUCUUUUGGCAUUAUAAGAUAUUGGUGAAUUUUAAUGUUAUAUACUGAUAAUUAGUAUUAAUAAAACAACAAGAUCAUUUUACUUGCAAUAUUUACGUCAAAUUCAGCACAAAAAGACACUUUUACCAUCCCUGAUGCCUGUGACUUUACCUUGACCCUAUCAAGUCUAGUUGCCGCAAUUAGCAUUGUUGUCAUUGGAAGUGUCAUAAACGUUGUUCUUUGGAAAAGGAAUCAACCAACAAAUACUAAGAAAGAACAAAGCGUUAGUCAGAAGAAUCAAAUCAUAGACGACCAUUACACAGUAAAUCCUGGCAGCGAAGAUAAGUUCAAUUCAACAUAUGCUGAGCUUAAAGACAUUGGUGGUCAUGAAGCCUACGAAAAACUGCGUCAAUCUCAUUGUGCAGAAAAGAUUUUAUAAAUUGUAAUUUUCUUUAUGAAGCCAAUAACGUUGAGUUUGAUUCUAUUUGUUUGUUUGAAGUUACGAGGGGAAAG
Molecule: long non-coding RNA, 2401 nt
Organism: Saccostrea cuccullata (small rock oyster)
Lineage: Eukaryota; Metazoa; Mollusca; Bivalvia; Ostreida; Ostreidae
Exons: 5
Source: RefSeq, a predicted model, not a curated record